This 25-nucleotide non-coding RNA is filed under the name Mus musculus (house mouse). Lineage: Eukaryota; Metazoa; Chordata; Mammalia; Rodentia; Muridae. The record is from RNAcentral.
UGAUUUCUGGAAUCUCAUGAGUGGA